RNAcentral lists this ribosomal RNA (501 nucleotides) under uncultured bacterium. Its description in RNAcentral is "bacterial SSU rRNA". It matches the Rfam family "Bacterial small subunit ribosomal RNA", at positions 28 to 526 of the family's 1533-position model. The record is from RNAcentral.
GAUUAACGCUGGCGGCAUGCCUAAUACAUGCAAAUCGAACGAAGCACUUGUGCUUAGUGGUGAACGGGUGAGUAACACGUGGGUAACCUGCCCAUCAGAAGGGGAUAACACUUGGAAACAGGUGCUAAUACCGUAUAACAAUCAAAACCGCAUGGUUUUGAUUUGAAAGGCGCUUUCGGGUGUCGCUGAUGGAUGGACCCGCGGUGCAUUAGCUAGUUGGUGAGGUAACGGCUCACCAAGGCCACGAUGCAUAGCCGACCUGAGAGGGUGAUCGGCCACAUUGGGACUGAGACACGGCCCAAACUCCUACGGGAGGCAGCAGUAGGGAAUCUUCGGCAAUGGACGAAAGUCUGACCGAGCAACGCCGCGUGAGUGAAGAAGGUUUUCGGAUCGUAAAACUCUGUUGUUAGAGAAGAACAAGGAUGAGAGUAACUGUUCAUCCCUUGACGGUAUCUAACCAGAAAGCCACGGCUAACUACGUGCCAGCAGCCGCCGUAAAAC